GAUGAACGCUGGCGGCGUGCUUAACACAUGCAAGUCGAACGGGAUCCCUGGCAGCUUGCUGCCGGGGUGAGAGUGGCGAACGGGUGAGUAAUGCGUGACCGACCUGCCCCAUGCACCGGAAUAGCUCCUGGAAACGGGUGGUAAUGCCGGAUGUUCCACAUGAGCGCAUGCGAGUGUGGGAAAGGCUUUUUGCGGCAUGGGAUGGGGUCGCGUCCUAUCAGCUUGUUGGUGGGGUAACGGCCUACCAAGGCGUUGACGGGUAGCCGGCCUGAGAGGGCGACCGGCCACAUUGGGACUGAGAUACGGCCCAGACUCCUACGGGAGGCAGCAGUGGGGAAUAUUGCACAAUGGGCGCAAGCCUGAUGCAGCGACGCCGCGUGCGGGAUGGAGGCCUUCGGGUUGUAAACCGCUUUUGUUCAAGGGCAAGGCACGGUCUUUGGCCGUGUUGAGUGGAUUGUUCGAAUAAGCACCGGCUAACUACGUGCCAGCAGCCGCGGUAAUACGUAGGGUGCAAGCGUUAUCCGGAUUUAUUGGGCGUAAAGGGCUCGUAGGCGGUUCGUCGCGUCCGGUGUGAAAGUCCAUCGCUUAACGGUGGAUCCGCGCCGGGUACGGGCGGGCUUGAGUGCGGUAGGGGAGACUGGAAUUCCCGGUGUAACGGUGGAAUGUGUAGAUAUCGGGAAGAACACCAAUGGCGAAGGCAGGUCUCUGGGCCGUUACUGACGCUGAGGAGCGAAAGCGUGGGGAGCGAACAGG
Molecule: ribosomal RNA, 753 nt
Filed under: uncultured Bifidobacterium sp.
Lineage: Bacteria; Bacillati; Actinomycetota; Actinomycetes; Bifidobacteriales; Bifidobacteriaceae
Description: bacterial SSU rRNA
Rfam family: Bacterial small subunit ribosomal RNA
Source: RNAcentral